UAUAAGGGUUUUAUACCACCCUGCAUGUGCCUCUUGUCUGAUCGCCCAAGCUAAGCAGGGUUGGGCCUGGUAAUACUUGGGAUCGGAGACUAUAUUCACUUAUAA
Molecule: ribosomal RNA, 105 nt
Filed under: Sus scrofa (pig)
Lineage: Eukaryota; Metazoa; Chordata; Mammalia; Artiodactyla; Suidae
Source: RNAcentral